RNAcentral lists this transfer RNA (69 nucleotides) under Macaca fascicularis (crab-eating macaque). RNAcentral's name for it is "partial tRNA-Gln". Lineage: Eukaryota; Metazoa; Chordata; Mammalia; Primates; Cercopithecidae. The record is from RNAcentral.
UAGGAUAGAGUGUGUGGGGUAGCACGGAGAAAUUUGGAUUCUCAGGGGUGGGUUCGAUACCCACAGUCC